CGGGGAGGGGUGGGGAGGGAAGAGGGGAGGAGGCGGGCCCAGCGAGCCGCCGGAAGGGGCGGGCCCGGCGGCGUGACUGACAGCCCCCGAACAGGGGCCGGGGGCCGCGAGGCCCGGGUUCGGAAAAAGAGCUCCGAAGACGCGCGCUUAGGUUCGGCAGGGCUAAGGUCACCGAGAGUCCUCUCGGAGCUUUCUUUUCAUAUUUUGAAGUAACUUUUUUCCAGAUCCCCAACAUUUUCAGAGGAGCUUCAGAAACAUAAAAGCCAGUAAGUUCAUCAGCUUCUAAGGAAUCAGCUACAGAGAUGGCAGAACUGAAUGAUGCAUAAAUAAGUGGAUCUAAAAUGGAGAUUUAUCUGAGCAGGCAUUCUCACUGCUGAGAGUAAACUAAGGAAGUAUCCAGUAUGAUCCUUCAUUUAAGAACGGGAAACAAUUCAUCUCUCUUCCCUGAUCCAUCCACUGGACUAAUUGAAGUUACCAGGUGACAUGGACGAAUAGAAAGUGGCUGAUGAAUGGCAGGAGUGGAAGAAGGUGUCCCCAUACACACUUG
Molecule: long non-coding RNA, 547 nt
Filed under: Equus asinus (donkey)
Lineage: Eukaryota; Metazoa; Chordata; Mammalia; Perissodactyla; Equidae
Description: lncRNA (ENSEASG00005029855.1)
Source: RNAcentral